UAAAACGCCUUUUGUUGCCUGUCUACAUUCUA
Molecule: non-coding RNA, 32 nt
Filed under: Mus musculus (house mouse)
Lineage: Eukaryota; Metazoa; Chordata; Mammalia; Rodentia; Muridae
Source: RNAcentral